Molecule: ribosomal RNA, 508 nt
Filed under: uncultured bacterium
Lineage: Bacteria
Description: bacterial SSU rRNA
Rfam family: Bacterial small subunit ribosomal RNA
Source: RNAcentral
GAUGACGACGCCGCGUGAGGGAUGAAGGCCUUCGGGUUGUAAACCUCUUUCAGCAGGGAAGAAGCGAAAGUGACGGUACCUGCAGAAGAAGCGCCGGCUAACUACGUGCCAGCAGCCGCGGUAAUACGUAGGGCGCAAGCGUUGUCCGGAAUUAUUGGGCGUAAAGAGCUCGUAGGCGGUUUGUCGCGUCUGCUGUGAAAACCUGAGGCUCAACCUCGGGCUUGCAGUGGGUACGGGCAGACUAGAGUGCGGUAGGGGUGACUGGAAUUCCUGGUGUAGCGGUGGAAUGCGCAGAUAUCAGGAGGAACACCGAUGGCGAAGGCAGGUCACUGGGCCGCAACUGACGCUGAGGAGCGAAAGCAUGGGGAGCGAACAGGAUUAGAUACCCUGGUAGUCCAUGCCGUAAACGUUGGGCACUAGGUGUGGGGCUCAUUCCACGAGUUCCGUGCCGCAGCAAACGCAUUAAGUGCCCCGCCUGGGGAGUACGGCCGCAAGGCUAAAACUCAAG